CCUACGGGAGGCAGCAGUGAGGAAUAUUGGUCAAUGGACGAGAGUCUGAACCAGCCAAGUAGCGUGAAGGAUGACAGCCCUAUGGGUUGUAAACUUCUUUUAUAUGGGAAUAAAAUGUUCCACGUGUGGGAUUUUGUAUGUACCCUAUGAAUAAGGAUCGGCUAACUCCGUGCAAGCAGCGGCGGUAAUACGGAGGAUCCGAGCGUUGUCCGGAUUUAUUGGGUUUAAAGGGAGCGUAGGUGGUGUGUUAAGUCAGUUGUGAAAGUUUGCGGCUCAACCGGAAAAUUGCAGUUGAAACUGGCAGUCUGGAGUACAGGAGAGGUGAGCGGAAUUCGUGGUGUAGCGGUGAAAUGCUUAGAUAUCACGAAGAACUCUGAUUGCGAAGGCAGCUCACUGGACUGCAACUGACACUGAGGCUCGAAAGUGUGGGUAGCAAACAGGAUUAGAUACCCGGGUAGUC
RNAcentral lists this ribosomal RNA (460 nucleotides) under uncultured bacterium. RNAcentral's name for it is "partial 16S ribosomal RNA". It matches the Rfam family "Bacterial small subunit ribosomal RNA", at positions 338 to 795 of the family's 1533-position model. The record is from RNAcentral.